UGAUCCUCACAUUUCUAAAGAUCUGCGUGCCUGUAUAACACCCCACCCAGCAGACUGUCGACCAAUCACGUUCACGUUGUCAUGCUGCGUCACGCGGUUGCUAAACCAAUCAUCACGUAAUCCCUUCUCAAAGUCAGUGUACUUUAUGUCGAGAAACUCUGUUUUCAUCAAAAGUACGUUCUGCCACGAUUCCAAAGCUAUACGAUACUACAGACAGCAAGUUAAUUAUCUCACAUCUCACGUCGACCAGAAUGCACCGCGUUGGCCAAUGACGUAACAUCGUCAACGUUGUUGGGUUUUUGAGCUAGUGCCCAGUAGACUCCAUUCACUCCGUGAAGGAGAGCGAUCCCUGUCCCAGAGUCGCCCAGAAUGCACCGCGUGGGCCAAAGACGUAGGUUCGUCAAGGUUUCCCAUCUCCUCAAAAGUAUAUCUGCCGUUGUGAUUUAAACUCCACUCUGGGAGACACAUCGAUCUGCAGGUUGAACAUGACCUCCAGGCUCAAAGCGUCAGUCCACCAGAUCUCCAGGCUCAAAGCGUCAGUCCACCAGCUGAAUACUCAGUCAGACUGGUGGAUGGGACCACUUCCUGUUCUGGGACAGUGGAAGUCUUCUACAGAGGAGAGUGGUUGGGUAUAUGUCCUAGUUGGUGGAGCAUAAUGAGAGAGACGUGGUUGUGGGACAUGAGAGAGACCAAGGUUGUGUGUAGAGAGCUGGACUGUGGGAAUCCUGUAGCUGAAUCUAGAGGACCUCUGAUUGAAGAUGGAAGAAGAGGAGUCACACUAUAUAGUAGUUGCUAUGGAGAUGAGUCUUCUAUUAGACAGUGUGGCAUAGGAGGACCUGGUUUCUGUUAUGGUGGAUAUUAUCAUCAUGUGACCUGUUCAGAGUCUGUGCGGCUUGUGGGUGGAGCUGGUCUCUGCUCUGGGAGAGUGGAGGUGAAGUCCAAUCAGUCCUGGGACUCAGUGUGUGAAGCUGACUUUGACCGGCAGGAUGCAGAGGUAGUCUGUGGGGAGCUUGGCUGUGGGGCUCCUGCAGCUCUAC
This is a long non-coding RNA of Oncorhynchus nerka (sockeye salmon), 1037 nucleotides long. RefSeq lists it as uncharacterized. Lineage: Eukaryota; Metazoa; Chordata; Actinopteri; Salmoniformes; Salmonidae. The record is from RefSeq and is a predicted model, not a curated record. The transcript is spliced from 5 exons.